This 402-nucleotide ribosomal RNA is filed under the name Bacteroidota bacterium. Its description in RNAcentral is "Bacteroidetes bacterium partial 16S ribosomal RNA". It matches the Rfam family "Bacterial small subunit ribosomal RNA", at positions 355 to 776 of the family's 1533-position model. Lineage: Bacteria; Pseudomonadati; Bacteroidota. The record is from RNAcentral.
UGGGGAAUUUUGCACAAUGGGGGAAACCCUGAUGCAGCGACGCCGCGUGAUUUAGAAGGCCUUCGGGUUGUAAAAAUCUUUUUUACGGGAUGAAAAUGACAGUACUAUACGAAUAAGGACCGGCUAAUUACGUGCCAGCAGCCGCGGUAAUACGUAAGGUCCGAGCGUUGUCCGGAAUCAUUGGGCGUAAAGGGUACGUAGGCGGGUAAGCAAGUUAGAAGUGAAAUCCUAUAGCUCAACUAUAGUAAGCUUUUAAAACUGCUCAUCUUGAGGUAUGGAAGGGAAAGUGGAAUUCCUAGUGUAGCGGUGAAAUGCGCAGAUAUUAGGAGGAAUACCGGUGGCGAAGGCGACUUUCUGGCCAUAACCUGACGCUGAGGUACGAAAGCGUGGGUAGCAAACAGG